This is a long non-coding RNA of Lagenorhynchus albirostris (white-beaked dolphin), 514 nucleotides long. RefSeq lists it as uncharacterized. Lineage: Eukaryota; Metazoa; Chordata; Mammalia; Artiodactyla; Delphinidae. The record is from RefSeq and is a predicted model, not a curated record. The transcript has 3 exons.
GGAACUGAGAUAGGCGGGAAACCCCGGGACAGGUGUCCCCGCGGGAGCUAAGAGCUGCUAGGCGGCCACUACCAAGUCGCCCUUCUUGGGUCCUCAGUGAAGUUCCCUGUGUGUUGCAGAUUCCCGCCAGUUUCUCACCGACCAGGCCAGAUGCACCUGAGACUCCGGGUGAGCGAGUGUGCGGCUCAACCUCUCCUUCAGCUUCCACAGAGAUGUGGGGUGUUGUGUAGUGGGAGAAGAACGAGACUGCAAGAAAGGCCACAAAUAAUGGUCUGAGGACUCCAGUAUUUCUUACCACCCUGAGAACUCAAGAAUCCGGAAUCAAACAUCCUGAAUUCUGUCUAUGGACAGAAUGGACCUCCUGGGGAUCCAUCAAGAGAGUUAGUGAGAAAGCUGGUUUAAAACCCAUGCCUCCUGACUUCGCUAAGUUCUCUAUCUAAUCCUACUCUUUUUUUUUUCUCUCUUAAUAAAGGGGAUUAGGUGGAAAAGAAUGAAUUUUAUUUAAACUGCUAGA